Haliotis rubra (blacklip abalone) is the source of this 149-nucleotide long non-coding RNA. RefSeq lists it as uncharacterized. The record is from RefSeq and is a predicted model, not a curated record. Lineage: Eukaryota; Metazoa; Mollusca; Gastropoda; Lepetellida; Haliotidae. The transcript has 4 exons.
GUAUAAAUAUAGACAUAUAUCACUGUAGGAAAGAUGCUGAAAAUCUAGCAUGUCCACAGGACUGGCGAGGUCAAAUUUUUACCAGUCCUGCCAAAAAUCUAGCCUGUCCUCCAAAUAUAAAUAAAACACAACCUUCGGCAGUAAAUAUU